GCACACACCCCCGCUGGCUUCCUGGACUCGUAGAGAAGUGAAACACCAACCUCAAGGGGUCAGCGGGGCAGGGAGAGGGAGGGAGAGGAACCCAACUCAUGAGGUGCCCCAGGACUGGGAGCCAGCAGGGCCUGAAAGGGUAGGGAUCCUGCCGGGGCAGGGUCUGAUCAGUCUGCUUGCUGCUGUGUAACACCUACAGAUGCUGUGUACCACCACGUCCCAGGUAAAUACUUCAGAAUGUUUCUCUACAACAGAGGUCUACAAACGUUUUCUAUAAAUAUUUGGGGCUUUGGGGGCCACACUGUCUCCACCUUGCCUACUCAACUCUGUCCUCCAAGAGCCAGGGAAAGAGGCAGAAUGCUGGGCCAGUAUCUGGAAAUGACCCCCAUACAACUCCACAUCCCAGCUUCACCUGUUUCCCACCUUUGAAGCAUGACUAGUUCCUCCAGCUAGCCCUAGGAAAUGGACAGGAAUGCUGCCGACAGCUCCUGUGGCCUCUGAGCGAAUGCCUUAGGGAAGAUGGCGGAGGAACUGACAUGCAUGUGUAUCUACGAUGGAAGCCAGAACAUUACGGGCACACAUUCCCUCAUGCACUGCUCUUCUGCCAUCAGCACCAGACGAACCCACGACCUGCAUCUGUGUGUAUGUGUGCCUCAAUGAUGUACUGUCUAGUUCUGGUUUCUAAGUUCCAGACAAAUGGCACC
Molecule: long non-coding RNA, 704 nt
Organism: Mustela erminea (ermine)
Lineage: Eukaryota; Metazoa; Chordata; Mammalia; Carnivora; Mustelidae
Exons: 3
Source: RefSeq, a predicted model, not a curated record